GCACUGCCGAGGAGUCCCAUAAUAGGACGAAACGACCUUCCAGUGC
Molecule: non-coding RNA, 46 nt
Filed under: Schistosoma mansoni
Lineage: Eukaryota; Metazoa; Platyhelminthes; Trematoda; Strigeidida; Schistosomatidae
Also listed under: 2 other names
Source: RNAcentral